Homo sapiens (human) is the source of this 560-nucleotide long non-coding RNA. Ensembl annotates it as TTC12 divergent transcript. Its record names the gene TTC12-DT. The record is from Ensembl. NCBI's taxonomy places the organism in Eukaryota, Metazoa, Chordata, Mammalia, Primates, Hominidae.
AGGAGGCGGGACAGGGGGCGGGCAUGGACACGCGAUCAGAUUCGCUACCGCAGAGCUCUAGCUCCGGAGCGCGCCAAGUUGAAGGCCAAAGUCGAGGUUGGGAUGCCCGAUGCCUGGCGCGGGGAGACGGAGGAAGCAAAGUGCUGCUGCCUGGUGGAAAUACAGUAUUAUAUAAUGACAUGCUACUAUGCAUCUCUACCUAACUCCUCGUCUGGUGAUGCCAUAUUGAAAUCAGCCAUACUGAGAGUAUUUACACACUGCUGAAGUCAGUAAAUGCUACAAAUCAAGGCUUGAAUGUAACCUACAUGAGAAAGAGUUGCCUUGCUCACUGCCGUAUCCCAGUAUCCCAAGAACCUUGGAGAUGCUCUAUGAAUACUGAAUGAAUCUGAGAGGAAACUAGCCCGAAGGGGGAAGGCUCUGGAAGCAAGCCCUCAUGGACCAACGGAGAGUGAGUGUCAUCAUUUUAUGUUUUCUCCAAAUCUUGUAAACAAUGUGUUUUAGUCUUAGCCUGUCAUAUGCAGCUGAAAUCUGGGGCAAAUAAAAUCACAUAGAUGCAUGUG